GCGACCCCACAACGGCUUCCUGGCGUGGGGACACACACAUAAUGGAGCA
The submitters of this non-coding RNA (49 nucleotides) gave its source as unclassified sequences. The record is from Rfam.